UUGACCUCAAAUCGGGUGAGACUACCCGCUGAACUUAAGCAUAUCAAUAAGCGGAGGAAAAGAAACUAACAAGGAUUCCCCUAGUAACUGCGAGUGAAGCGGGAAAAGCUCAAAUUUAAAAUCUGGUGGCCUCUGGUCACCCGAGUUGUAAUUUAGAGAAGCGUCUUCCGCGCUGGACCGUGCACAAGUCUCCUGGAAUGGAGCGUCAUAGAGGGUGAGAAUCCCGUCUUUGGCACGGACGCACCAGGGCUUUUGUGAUGCGCUCUCGAAGAGUCGAGUUGUUUGGGAAUGCAGCUCAAAAUGGGUGGUGAACUCCAUCUAAAGCUAAAUAUUGGCGAGAGACCGAUAGCGAACAAGUACCGUGAGGGAAAGAUGAAAAGCACUUUGGAAAGAGAGUGAAACAGUACGUGAAAUUGUUGAAAGGGAAACGCUUGAAGUCAGUCGCGUCGACCGAGACUCAGCCUUGCCUCGGCUCGGUGUACUUCUCGGCCGACGGGUCAGCAUCAAUUUUGCCCCUCGGAUAAUGGCGAGAGAAAGGUGGCACCCUCUCGGGUGUGUUAUAGUCU
RNAcentral lists this ribosomal RNA (566 nucleotides) under Russula nigricans. Its description in RNAcentral is "eukaryotic LSU rRNA". It matches the Rfam family "Eukaryotic large subunit ribosomal RNA", at positions 1 to 564 of the family's 3401-position model. The record is from RNAcentral. Lineage: Eukaryota; Fungi; Basidiomycota; Agaricomycetes; Russulales; Russulaceae.